Molecule: ribosomal RNA, 449 nt
Filed under: uncultured bacterium
Lineage: Bacteria
Description: partial 16S ribosomal RNA
Rfam family: Bacterial small subunit ribosomal RNA
Source: RNAcentral
GUCGAGAAUCUUUCACAAUGGGGGCAACCCUGAUGGAGCGACGCCGCGUGGAGGAUAAGGUCUUCGGAUUGUAAACUCCUGUCAUGCGUGAACAAGGUUGCUUGGAUAAUACCUGAGCAAAUUGAUGGUAGCGCAAGAGGAAGAGACGGCUAACUCUGUGCCAGCAGCCGCGGUAAUACAGAGGUCUCAAGCGUUGUUCGGAAUCACUGGGCGUAAAGGGUGCGUAGGUGGCGUGGCAAGUCAGAUGGGAAAGCCCGGGGCUCAACCUCGGAACUGCAUCAGAUACUGCCAUGCUAGAGUACUGGAGGGGUGACUAGAAUUCUCGGUGUAGCAGUGAAAUGCGUAGAUAUCGAGAGGAAUACCAAAGGCGUAGGCAGGUCACUGGACAGUUACUGACACUGAGGCACGAAGGCCAGGGGAGCGAACGGGAUUAGAUACCCUAGUAGUCC